GACGAACGCUGGCGGCGUGCUUAACACAUGCAAGUCGAACGGUGAACCUCUUCGGAGGGGAUCAGUGGCGAACGGGUGAGUAACACGUGGGCAACCUGCCCCCGGCUCUGGGAUAACUCCAAGAAAUUGGGGCUAAUACCGGAUGUUCACCGCUUCCUGCAUGGGUGGUGGUGGAAAGGGUUUCCGGCUGGGGAUGGGCCCGCGGCCUAUCAGCUUGUUGGUGGGGUAGUGGCCUACCAAGGCGACGACGGGUAGCCGGCCUGAGAGGGUGACCGGCCACACUGGGACUGAGACACGGCCCAGACUCCUACGGGAGGCAGCAGUGGGGAAUAUUGCGCAAUGGGCGGAAGCCUGACGCAGCGACGCCGCGUGGGGGAUGACGGCCUUCGGGUUGUAAACCUCUUUCAGCAGGGACGAAGCGCAAGUGACGGUACCUGCAGAAGAAGCACCGGCCAACUACGUG
RNAcentral lists this ribosomal RNA (463 nucleotides) under uncultured bacterium. Its description in RNAcentral is "partial 16S ribosomal RNA". It matches the Rfam family "Bacterial small subunit ribosomal RNA", at positions 28 to 507 of the family's 1533-position model. The record is from RNAcentral.